CUUAAGUAGAAGAAGUACAUAAUAGUUUAGCUGGCAGCUAUGAGCCAUUUACAACGCUAUAUUUGGCUUUUGUUGGAUUCCUUACAUAGUUUGCUAGGAGCAGCUUUUUUCAGCUUAUGUUAGUAUACUGCAUUUAGCAGAAUUAUAAAGUCCUAAAAUUGCUUGUGCUUGAAAAUUAGAACUGUACAUUUAUGGUAACUUGGAUUUAAAAUAAGUUUUCAAUACAAGGCAGAAGCUUGGAUAAAAAACAAAAUGGUGAUCACUGGAAAAAAAUCAGGAACGGCUACCUGGAGAGGAGAUGGACGCCAUCAGGUUAAACCCUGCUCGAGAAUCAUCGAUGAUGCAACGGCACCUGAAGUGCCCUAACAGUCGUAAGCGGCCUCGGGACUAAAGAAGAAAGUGCCUUUUUAAAUUUCAAUAAUGAAGAACCGAUGGAGUGAGAUACACCAAAUAAUUGGAAACUACAGUAGAAACCUGGGAAUGCUGUACUCCUUAAUUAUAGAAAAGGAAGUACAAAGGUUAAAUUUUUCAUUUAUAAAACCAUAUAAAGACCAUUAUUUAUAUAUGGCUCGGAAGCAUGGGUGUUAGCCAAGAAAAUAAAGAGUAAAAUACAGGCAGCAGAGAUGAAGACUCUGAGACUCAUAUAUGGAAUUACUCAUGGUGGUAGAAUAAUAAAUGAGGAUAAAAGGAGGAGUAUUCGAGUGGAUUCAGUGCUGGAAUGUAUAGAGAGGAGAAACAGUCGAGGUGGUACGGGCAGGUAUGGUGAAUAGAUGAAGAAAGGUACCCGAAAAAAUAUAUAGAGCGGAUACCAAUUGGAAAAAAGAUCCAUACGAAAACCAAUGAAGAAAUGGAGACAAAACAUUAAACAGACUGUUGUAAAUAGAGGAUCAACAUGGGAGGAAAUAGAGAAACAAGAAUUCUAUUUGCAUAUGAGUGUGUGGCUAAUUUUUGUGGAGUGAUAAAGCUGAUAGGCUUGAGUCUAACAGGAAGAAGAAUAAAUUCUUUACCUCUGUCAAAGAUUAUGAAAAAUAAACAAAUGUCCAGUUAACUAAGAUAUCACAUCAUCAGUGGCCUUCAAAAGACACUGAAACUAAUUUAGUUGCAUGCGGCCGUACAGGAAGCACGGUACUCUGGUCUCUCUUAAUAAUUAUGGUCAAUUUAUACACUGUUAAAUUACUCUAGUGUAAAAUAUUCAUUAAUGAUUCAAAUGGUUUUGUGGUAAAUUUCUAAAAUUGUAAUAUAUUCUGCUAACUAACGGCUUUCAUUAUGAACUAAAAUUAUAGUAAUUAUUGUGGUAAAGCAAUGUUGUAAAACAAUAAUUAAUACUUAAAAUAUACUUUCGAUCAGAACGAGCCACUGAAAACAAAGUAGUUACAAAGUCAUUAUUUUUUAUUUUGAUGUAAUAAAAUUCUUAGUAGACUAAAUUCCUGACUUCGCCAUAUUUAUUGCAUAGUUGAUCGGAAUAAAGUUCCUCAGUUAAUGAUGUGUCAUUUGUUUUGUUUCGUAUAAUUACUAUGAUAAAUGGCUAAAUUAAUGAUGUUGUUUUCGACUGAACACCUAAAAAAGUUCUGAUACCUUGAAGAUAAAAUAAUAUAAUAGGCUAUAUAACAGGGCCAUUUCUGUCGUAAAUAUUCUAAUACUCAAACACAUAUUUGCCUCUGUCGUUUUUCUUGAGAAUUAUGAUUGGUUAGCUCAUCAAAGCAUUCAUGAAAUCUUUGAGUUAACAUUUUCCAGGAAGUCCUUUGGCAAAAACGUGUUUUGAAAUAAGCUAAAACGUUAAAUGUAAUUAACGAAACUAAUCUUAGUUUGAGACAUAAGUUCAGAAUCUGUAUGUGAAUUAAGAAGAUAGACGCAGACUCCUAGUACAAUUACUCCAAUAAAUUUGAUUUCAUAACAAGUUUAGCAUAGGUGGAAUCUUGUGUGAGAAACAACACACCGUUACUAAUUAAUUUGUUAGAAAUUUAAAGAAUUAUAACUUAAAGCAAUGACUAUAGUAACGGCAAGCUUCAU
Molecule: long non-coding RNA, 2010 nt
Organism: Limulus polyphemus (Atlantic horseshoe crab)
Lineage: Eukaryota; Metazoa; Arthropoda; Merostomata; Xiphosura; Limulidae
Exons: 3
Source: RefSeq, a predicted model, not a curated record